AGACGGAGGGCGCAAACGUUGUUCGGAAUCACUGGGCAUAAAGAGCACGUAGGCGGCCCGCUAAGUUGAAUGUGAAAGCCCCCGGCUCAACCGGGGAAUUGCAUCCGAUACUGGCGGGCUCGAGGACGGUAGGGGUAAGUGGAACUCCAGGUGGAACGGUGAAAUGUGUAGAUAUCUGGAGGAACACCGGUGGCGAAAGCGGCUUACUGGACCGUCUGACGCUGAGGUGCGAAAGCUAGGGUAGCGAACGGGAUUAGAAACCCCGGUAGUCC
RNAcentral lists this ribosomal RNA (272 nucleotides) under uncultured bacterium. RNAcentral describes it as "partial 16S ribosomal RNA". It matches the Rfam family "Bacterial small subunit ribosomal RNA", at positions 523 to 796 of the family's 1533-position model. The record is from RNAcentral.